RNA transcript from Quercus lobata, 2014 nucleotides. RefSeq lists it as uncharacterized. The record is from RefSeq and is a predicted model, not a curated record. The transcript has 9 exons. Lineage: Eukaryota; Viridiplantae; Streptophyta; Magnoliopsida; Fagales; Fagaceae.
AUGAAUACUAAUUUGAGUUCUUUCUUGAUCUCUAUAGUAGUCUUUGGAUCACUUCUAGGAGUUUUUCAAGGAGGAGAGUUGAGAAAACAUUUUUACAAGGAUAGUUGUCUGCUAGCUGAGGACAUUGUGAAGGAAAUCAUUUGGAAACGUGUGGCAAGCAAUUCAACUUUGCCUGCCAAGUUUCUGAGGAUGCAUUUUAUGAUCGGUUGCGAUGCCUCUGUAUUGCUAGACUCUACAUCAAAUAACUAGGUUGAGAAGGCGGCAACUCCAAACCUAUCUCUGGGAGGAUUCAAUGUAAUAGAUGAGGUGAAGACUGAGUUAGAGAAGACCUGUACUAGAGUAGUUUCUUGUGCAGAUAUCGUUGCUUUGGCUGCUAGAGACUCAGUUUCCUACCAAUUUCAGAGGCCAAUCUGGGAAGUACUUACCUGUAGGAGGGAUGGAAGCAUAUUGCGUAUUUCAGAUGCCCUCAACAACAUCCCAUCACCAUGCUUCAAUUUCAGCAGCCUAAAUCAAUCUUUUGCCAACAAAAGCCUCACAGUUCAUGAUCUUGUUGUUUUAUCAUGUGGACAUACAAUUGGUGUUGGGCAUUGCAAAUUCUUCAGCAAAAGGCUAUACAAUUUCGCAGGAAAAAAUGAUGCAGAUCCUUCUCUAAACUCUACCUAUGCUGCUUUCUUGAAAACCCAAUGCGAAAGCCUCUCAAACAACAUAACUAUCGUGCCAAUGGAUCCUGGAAGCCCCCUAUCCUUUGACAACAACUACUACAAAAACUUGAAGCUGGAUCAAGGUCUUUUCCAAUCUGAUGCUGCACUUUUAACCAACAAUGAAGCUACCAAUACUGUCGAUGAGCUGCUUGACUCUCAAGAUUUUUUCACGGAGUUUGGUCAAUCGAUGAAGAGGAUGGGAGCCAUUCAUGUGCUUACAGGAAGUUUGGGAGAGAUUAGGAAGAAGUGUAAUGUGUUAGAAAUUAGAACUCCAGAAUGUAGAGCAAAGAAACAAAGAGAGAUGAAUACUAAUUUGAGUUCCUUCUUUAUCUUUAUAGCAGUGUUUGGGCUUCUAGGAGUUUGUCAUGGACAGUUGAGAAUGCAUUUUUAUGAGGAGAGUUGCCCCCAUGCUGAGGAAAUUGUGAAGGAAAUCAUAUGGAACCGUGUGGCAUGCAAUUCAACUUUGCCUGCCAAGUUUUUGAGGAUGCAUUUUCAUGAUUGUUUCGUAAGGGGUUGUGAUGCCUCUGUACUGAUAGACUCUACCGCAAAUAACUUAGCUGAGAAGGCAGCAAUUCCAAACCUAUCUCUGGCAGGAUUCAACAUAAUAGAUGAGGUGAAGACUGAGUUAGAGAAGACAUGUCCUGGAGUAGUUUCUUGUGCAGAUAUUGUUGCUUUGGCUGCUAGAGACUCAGUUUCCUACCAAUUUCAGAGGCCAAUUUGGGAUGUACUUACCGGUAGAAGGGAUGGAAUCAUAUCGCGCGAGUCAGAGGCCCUUGCCAACAUCCCAUCACCAUUCUUCAAUUUCACUACCCUGAAACAAUCUUUUGCUAACAAAAGCCUCUCAGUUCAUGAUCUUGUUGUUUUAUCAGGUGGACAUACAAUUGGUGUUGGGCAUUGCAAUUUCUUCAGCAACAGGCUAUACAAUUUCACAGGAAAAAAUGAUGAAGAUCCUUCUCUAAACUCAACCUAUGCUGCUUUCUUGAAAACCCAAUGCAAAAGCCUCUCAAACAAUGUUACUAUCGUGCCAAUGGAUCCUGGAAGCCCCCUAUCCUUUGACAACAAUUAUUUCAAAAUCUUGAAGCAAAACGAAGGUCUUUUCCAAUCUGAUGCUGCACUUUUAACCGAUGGUGAAGCUACCUAUAAUGUCAAUGAGCUGCUUAACUCUCAGAAUUUUUUCACGGAGUUUGCGCAAUCGAUUAUGAGGAUGGGAGCCAUUCAAGUGCUUACAGGAACUUCGGGAGAGAUUAGGAAGAACUGUAGUGUGGUGAAUCCUUGAGAGCUAGUUGGCUUAUAAGUGUGACAAAUGAGUUAUU